UGGGGAAUCCUGCGCAAUGGGCGAAAGCCUGACGCAGCGACACCGCGUGAGUGAGGAAGGUCUUCGGAUUGUAAAGCUCUGUCGGCAGGAAAGAUGGAACAGGUGGUUAAUACCCAUUUGUUUUGACGUUACCCUCAGAAGCAGCACCGGCUAACUCCGUGCCAGCAGCCGCGGUAAUACGGGGGGUGCAAGCGUUAAUCGGAAUUAUUGGGCGUAAAGGUGCGUAGGUUGUUUGAUAAGAUAUAUGUGAAAUACCUGGGCUCAACCUGGGAAGGUCAUAUAAGACUGUCAGACUCGAGUAUGGGAGAGGGUAGAGGAAUUUCCGGUGUAGCGGUGAAAUGCGUAGAUAUCAAGAGGAACACCUGAGGUGAAGACGGGUUGCUGGGCUGACACUGACGCUGAGGCGCGAAAGCCAGGGGAGCAAACGGGAUUAGAUACCCACGUAGUCCCUGAGCGGGCUGGCAAGGCGCAU
Molecule: ribosomal RNA, 472 nt
Filed under: uncultured bacterium
Lineage: Bacteria
Description: bacterial SSU rRNA
Rfam family: Bacterial small subunit ribosomal RNA
Source: RNAcentral